This is a long non-coding RNA of Homo sapiens (human), 4127 nucleotides long. Lineage: Eukaryota; Metazoa; Chordata; Mammalia; Primates; Hominidae. The record is from Ensembl.
AUAUCUAAAUGAGUUCCACCUUUGUCAGGAGGGAGCAGAUAUGGUCCAUUAUAAAGCUUCAGCAACCUGGGGAAGCAAAAGCCUCUCACCGUGUUCCAGGGAGCCACAGUGGAGAUUGCCAUCCUGUGAAUUAGGAAGUGCUUAAGUGUAAUGCCAGCCUAAUCCCCUGCAUUGUAAAGUGGGCUGGCAGUGCAGUUUUGCUCCAUCAUUCAAAACUACAUGUGAGCCUCCAAACCCUGGAAGUAGAUCUAGAAAGCAACCUACAUCCACUGAAGUGCUGCCCAAGACUGAGGAAUGGUGGUGGUAGAGGAAGAUGAUAGAGAUCAAUUGUGGCUCCUGAGACCCUCUGCAGAUGCAACAGGACCUGUAACUUGUUCUCCUCAUACUCUUGAGUUCAGCCCUUGCAGAGCUGGUGCCCGGCUGCCACCUUAGUCUAGAAGCAAACGCCCACUUUAGAGCCAGCUCCUUAAUACUGACUGCUUUGGAAUUAACAUGAGAGGAAGCAUGUUUGGGAGUGCCCUGUAGAUUAUUACCCAUGGAUUGAACCGAGCAGAGGAAGGACUGAACUGUAAUGCAGCCCCAGCUAAGUCCUCAGCAGAUCCCACAGGUGGCAAUUGAACAAUGAGAACACUUGGACACAGGAAGAGGAACAUCACACACCAGGAUUUUUUUUUUUAAAGGAGAGAUGUAGCUGAGCAAAUAGUGGACAAAUUAAACUGCUUCAGAUCUACAUGAGAAGUAGUGACUUAUAAUGUACAUACAAUUAAAACAUCUUUUAUCUUAAAUAUACAUGUAAAUAUCCACAAUUAUAGCUCAUAUAUAUUAAUUAUAAGUGCAAUGCAUAAUUAUAAUAUAUCCAUAAUAUAAUAAGUAUGAUAAUAUAAACAAAGAAAGUUUAGGGAAAUAUCCUUUUUCCCAAGAAGAAAGAACAUUCAUGUUCUAGUAUAUGCCAAUAGCAAUAUAGACUGCAAGACAAGCUAGUUAUACCUUAUGCAACAGGAUUCAUGCCAAAAGAGAACACAAGAAUAUAAAUUUCUAAAAUAAAAAAAUUAAAUUUAAAUAUUUAAAACGCAAAGUUAUUUGAAAAUAAUUUUAAAAUGAAAACGGCUGCAAAGAUUUUUAAAGACGCAUUUAGAAAGCCUGCUGUGUCUUCAAACAUUUUUCCUAUUUGGUAGUGGAAUAAAGAUUUCAAGCACAAAUUUACCCAUGACUGUUUUGCUGAGCAAACUUAAUGCCACAUCCUUGUUCAUUACUUUUUCAGGCUCCUACCCAUUGCUUCUCUCCCUUUAAUUUCCCACCAUGCACACUGGCCCAUUUGGUGAGAAGAUCUAUUCUGUGCUCACAUGUACAAAGGUGAUGUAUUGGCAGCUUCAGCCUCCAAAGGUUUUUCUCAUUACUGAAUUCCCAGUAGCUAUUUCUCUACAUUGUAAUUGGAUAGUACUUUUUAGGAGCAAGUGUCCAGGGCAUAGAGUGCCACAAACACUAGGUGCAUUCUAGAGAAAUGAGGAGAUGAUAUCCAUGAAUAGCAGAGGAUCAUAGACAAAUGCAUUCCCCAAGGUGAGGGGAAACAAUCAAUAGCUGAAAUGAGAAAAGCUGGCUUCAGUGGUGUGCUGAUUGAGAAGAGAGCCUUCCCAUUAAGCCAGAGUGACCUGUGACGCUCAAUUAGUGAAUGCAAUCCAUGCACCUUUUUCAUUGCAUAAUUAAAGACCUAUACCUGACCUCUCCAUGUCUUCAAAUCUGCAAUCUUUACACACACACACACACACACACACACACACACACACAGAGAUACUUGUUUCCCAAUUAUUAAUACUCUUAAUUAUUCAACAAUGAUGCCUAUUUAAACACCUAAUGGAUUAUUUGAUUUUAAUAGUUAAUAAUACCAUGUCAAAUGAUAAAGAUCAAUUAUUUUUCAGAACAAUAUAUUUUUAAUUAGGCAUUUUGAAAAGUAUUAUGUUUAGGAAACUGUACCCAUGAUAAUGACUGAAUUCUGUUAAAAAUGACGUGCUGAAUCAGUGGCUGAUUCUCAGUAGAAGGAUUGAAAUGAUCAUGGUUUAUGUUCAUUGAUUCACUGAACACAUACUUAAAGGUGCUUGCGAGGUAUCAGGCAUGAUUAUGGUGAAAAGCGGGCAAAGGUAAAUAGGUCUCUGCUCUCCAAAAGAAAGAGCAACGCUAAGCUGAGCAUUACAGUGCUUGGGGAAUGUCGCACACAGCAGGGAAAGCCCACCGGAGUCUACUCAUGCUAUCAUACGUGCAUGCCCAAAUACACACAUUGUGGUCUUCAAGAUUAUCAUAUUUACCCAUAGGAUAUUCAUUGCAGUUAUGCCUAAAAUAGAAAACAGACAGAUGAGAACUGAUGUUAAGCAUUAAAAAAUUCAGCCAAGAGUAAUUUUCAGUAGAAAACCAAAGAGAAUGUUGUGUUGUAAAAGAGCAUACUAUGAUAUAAUUUCUGAGAAUAGAUUCCUGUUCUAGUUAUCAUAAUUAGCAUAUAUCUUAUGCUAUGUGCCUAAAUGACACAUUAUUAUCAUUAAUAUAAUAAAUGAUUAUCUUUGUUAAUUUGCCAUAAGCAAAGUUUGGUUAUAGGAAUUAACAAAAAUCUCCCAUAUUCCAAAAGUGUGCCCCAUAAUACUUACCUAUAAAGAAUAUAGAAGUUUUUAGGUUCUAUCAGAUUAUAUAGAAAUAAAAUAUUUGUAAGAAAAUCACAUAAAAUUUUUAAUUGUAUCAAAAAUCACAUAUACAAUUUAUCACUUUAAUCAUUUUUAACUCUACAGCGUAGGAGUUUUUGUUUUGUUUUGUUUUUGAGAAGGAGUCUUGCUCUCUUGCCUAGGCUGGAGUGCAGUGGCACGAUCCCGACUCACCGCAACCUCUGCCUCCCAGGUUCAAGUGAUUCUCCUGCCUCAGCCUCCUGAGUAGCUGGGACUACAGGCAUGCACCAUCAAACCUGGCUAAUUUUUGUAUUUUUAGUAGAGAUGGGGUUUCACCAUGUUGGCCAGGCUGGCCUUGAACUCCUGACCUCAGGUUAUCCACCUGCCUUGGCCUCCCAAAUUGCUGGGUUUACACACGUGAGCCACAGUGCCCAGCAGCAUAGGAGUUUUAGGUAUGUAUACAUCGUUGUGAAACAGAUCUCCAGAACUUUUUCAACUCACAGAACUGAAACUCCAUAAUAUAUCCAUUAAACAACAAUUCUCCUUUGCCUACACUCCCUAUCCACUGGUAACUACCACUCUACUUUUCAUAUCUAUGAGUUUGGCUACUUUAGAUACCUCUUAUAAUUGGGAUCAUAUAGUAUUUGUGCUUUUGUGCCUAGCAUAUUUCACUGAACAUAAUAUCCUCGAGGUUCCUUCGUGUCAUAGCAGGUGUCAGAAUUUCCUUCCUUUGUAAGGCUGCAUCGUGUUCUAUUGUAUAUACAUACCAUAUUUUGUUUAUCCAUUAGUCACAUCACAAAUAGUUUUAAUUAAUUUUAAUAUACUUUCAUUUUUCCCCUAGUUUUUCAGAGUAAUACUUGUUCAUUUUAGGACAUUUUAAAAAAUAGAAAAAUGAAUAAAUAAUUAUUUUCAAAUUUUAUAAUUCUAGUAUCCAAUGCUAAUCACUAAAAUUUUAUAUAUUUCCUUCAUAAUAGUAUACAUAUAUUUUCUUUGCUGUUGUUUUCUGCUUACUUAUAAUAAUAAUUUUCACAUGUGAAUGCAUGAUCUUACUAAAAUUUAUUUAACCAUUCUUCUAGGACACCAAAUAGAAAGCACUUGGUGUGACAGGAGAGAGAGAAUGGAAGCUUACAUUGAAUGAUCCAGUGGGGAUAUAAAGAAGUGAAUAAUAUUUGAGAAAUAUAGUCUUUUUGUGAGCCUGAGUUUCGUCACUUUCUUCCAAUAGUUUGCAUACAUUUUUAAUGGUUUCCAGUUUUGAAAUAUUUUAUUAAAUUUUUAAUAAGGCUUAUUUUAAAGUAGAAUUAAACCAGUUAUUACUAGUGGGAAGAAAGUUUGCAGACUAGUUAUAUUUAUCUUUUCUAGGGUUUUACUGAUGGAUAUUAAAAUUAUAAAACAAAUAUGUAUCUUUGAUUGUCUAGAACUACAAUCACCUUAAUAAUUAAGUCAUCAUCUGUAUGUUACUGACUUUGCUACAUAUUUCAAAGC